Molecule: long non-coding RNA, 525 nt
Filed under: Monodelphis domestica (gray short-tailed opossum)
Lineage: Eukaryota; Metazoa; Chordata; Mammalia; Didelphimorphia; Didelphidae
Description: lncRNA (ENSMODG00000047924.1)
Source: RNAcentral
UAUAUAGUGACUUAUGGUUGGGAAAGAUUAUUCUCAGAAUAAUCCUGUUGUUAUUAUUCCUAUUUUACAGAUGAGGAAAUGGAGAAAAAAGAAAUUAAGUGACUUGCCCAAGGUCAUCCAUCUAAACUUGUUUUGCAUCUAUCCAGUACAUGACUGUGGGCAGCUAUUGUUCAUCCUUUUUGAAGAAACCAGCAAUAUCACAGAUAUCAUGAUUGCCACUCCUACCUUCUUUCUGUCAGUUGAGGCCCAGAAGGUCUUACUCCAUCCUUUAAUUCUGACCUUGUGGUUGUCUACCUGCCUCAUGUGUGUUUCUUGAAGACAACAUAUGGUAGGGUUUUGGAUUUUAAUCCAUUCUGCUAUUUGUCUACCUUUUAUGGGUGAGUUCAUCCCAUUCACAUUCAAAGUUAUGACUGUCACUUGUGGACUCCCUGGCAUUUUGAUAUCCCUCCCUAAUUCUUACCUUUCUUCUUCAGCUCUACCUUUUAGUCCAGUGAUUUACUUUAAAUCAGUCCCCCUUGUUCCCUC